RNAcentral lists this ribosomal RNA (505 nucleotides) under uncultured bacterium. RNAcentral describes it as "partial 16S ribosomal RNA". It matches the Rfam family "Bacterial small subunit ribosomal RNA", at positions 28 to 507 of the family's 1533-position model. The record is from RNAcentral.
GACGAACGCUGGCGGCGUGCCUAAUACAUGCAAGUAGAACGCACAGUUUACACCGUAGCUUGCUACACCAUACACUGUGAGUUGCGAACGGGUGAGUCACGCGUAGGUAACCUGCCUGGUAGCGGGGGAUAACUAUUGGAAACGAUAGCUAAUACCGCAUAAUAUUGAUUAUUGCAUGAUAAUUGAUUGAAAGAUGCUAUUGCAUCACUACCAGAUGGACCUGCGUUGUAUUAGCUAGUAGGUGAGGUAACGGCUCACCUAGGCGACGAUACAUAGCCGACCUGAGAGGGUGAUCGGCCGCACUGGGACUGAGACACGGCCCAGACUCCUACGGGAGGCAGCAGUAGGGAAUCUUCGGCAAUGGACGAAAGUCUGACCGAGCAACGCCGCGUGAGUGAAGAAGGUUUUCGGAUCGUAAAGCUCUGUUGUAAGAGAAGAACGGGUGUGAGAGUGGAAAGUUCACACUGUGACGGUAUCUUACCAGAAAGGGACGGCUAACUACGUG